CCCGCACAAGCGGAGGAACAUGUGGUUAAUUCGAUGAUACGCGAGGAACCUUACCUGGGCUUAAAUGUAGAGUGCAUUUUCUAGAGAUAGGAAUUCCCUUCGGGGCUUUCUACAAGGUGCUGCAUGGUUGUCGUCAGCUCGUGCCGUGAGGUGUCGGGUUAAGUCCCAUAACGAGCGCAACCCUUAUCGUUAGUUGCCAUCUGGUAAAGCAGGGGACUCUAGCGAAACUGCCACCGUAAGGUGAGAGGAAGGUGGGGAUGACGUCAAAUCAGCACGGCCCUUAUGUCCAGGGCUACACACGUGUUACAAUGGUCGGUACAGAGAGCAGCUACCUGGUGACAGGAUGCUAAUCUCGAAAACCGGCCUCAGUUCGGAUCGAAGUCUGCAACUCGACUUCGUGAAGCUGGAUUCGCUAGUAAUCGCGCAUCAGCCAUGGCGCGGUGAAUACGUUCCCGGGCCUU
This 461-nucleotide ribosomal RNA is filed under the name uncultured Sphingobacteriales bacterium. Its description in RNAcentral is "bacterial SSU rRNA". It matches the Rfam family "Bacterial small subunit ribosomal RNA", at positions 920 to 1382 of the family's 1533-position model. The record is from RNAcentral. Lineage: Bacteria; Pseudomonadati; Bacteroidota; Sphingobacteriia; Sphingobacteriales.